UCCCGUGUGGCUCAGUUGGUAGAGCAUGGUGUUUGCAACGCCAGGGUUGCGGGUUCGUUUCCCACGGGGG
Non-coding RNA from Salmo salar (Atlantic salmon), 70 nucleotides. The record is from Rfam. Lineage: Eukaryota; Metazoa; Chordata; Actinopteri; Salmoniformes; Salmonidae.